GCCGGGCGUGGUGGUGCGUGCCUGUAGUCCCAGCUACUCUGGAGGCUGAGGUGGGAGGAUCGCUUGAGCCCAGGAGUUCUGGGCUGUAGUGCGCUAUACUGAUCGGGUGUCCGCUCUACGUUUGGCAUCAAUAUGGUGACCUCCUGGGAGCGGGGGACCACCAGGUUGCCUAAGGAGGGGUGAACCAGCCCAGAUCAGAAAUGGAGCAGGUCAAAACUCCCAUGCUGAUCAGUAGUGGGAUCAGCCCUGUGAAUAGCCACUGCACUCCAUCCUGGGCAACAUAGCAAGACCCCAUCUCU
Molecule: signal recognition particle RNA, 299 nt
Filed under: Aotus nancymaae (Ma's night monkey)
Lineage: Eukaryota; Metazoa; Chordata; Mammalia; Primates; Aotidae
Description: Metazoan signal recognition particle RNA (ENSANAG00000005379.1)
Rfam family: Metazoan signal recognition particle RNA
About the family: The signal recognition particle (SRP) is a universally conserved ribonucleoprotein. It is involved in the co-translational targeting of proteins to membranes.
Source: RNAcentral